This 314-nucleotide ribosomal RNA is filed under the name Helix pomatia (Roman snail). RNAcentral's name for it is "partial 16S ribosomal RNA". It matches the Rfam family "Archaeal large subunit ribosomal RNA", at positions 2019 to 2643 of the family's 2987-position model. The record is from RNAcentral. Lineage: Eukaryota; Metazoa; Mollusca; Gastropoda; Stylommatophora; Helicidae.
CUGACUGUGCAAAGGUAGCAUAAUCAGUUGGCUUUUAAUUAGAGUCUGGUAUGAACGAAAAUAUGGGUAGUAACUGUCUUAGCAUAUUUUUUCGAACUUAUUAAACAAGUGCAAAUGCUUGUAAUUUAACAAUAGACGAGAAGACCCUAGAAACUUGGACAAGUUUUUGUUGGGGCGACAGAAUUACACUUAACUAAUCUUAUAAUACACGACGCGAUGUUGAAAGAAUAAGUUACUCUAGGGAUAACAGCAUAAUUUCAUUAGUUUGUGACCUCGAUGUUGGACUAGGUACUAUACCCUUAAGGCAAGGAUAU